This 466-nucleotide ribosomal RNA is filed under the name uncultured bacterium. RNAcentral's name for it is "partial 16S ribosomal RNA". It matches the Rfam family "Bacterial small subunit ribosomal RNA", at positions 28 to 507 of the family's 1533-position model. The record is from RNAcentral.
GACGAACGCUGGCGGCGCGCCUAACACAUGCAAGUCGAACGAGCGAGAGGGAGCUUGCUUUCUCGAGCGAGUGGCGAACGGGUGAGUAACGCGUGAGGAACCUGCCUCAAAGAGGGGGACAACAGUUGGAAACGACUGCUAAUACCGCAUAAGCCCACGGUGCCGCAUGGCACAGAGGGAAAAGGAGCAAUCCGCUUUGAGAUGGCCUCGCGUCCGAUUAGCUAGUUGGUGAGGUAAUGGCCCACCAAGGCGACGAUCGGUAGCCGGACUGAGAGGUUGAACGGCCACAUUGGGACUGAGACACGGCCCCGACUCCUACGGGAGGCAGCAGUGGGGAAUAUUGCACAAUGGGGGAAACCCUGAUGCAGCGACGCCGCGUGGAGGAAGAAGGUCUUCGGAUUGUAAACUCCUGUUGUUGGGGAAGAUAAUGACGGUACCCAACAAGGAAGUGACGGCUAACUACGUG